UNNUGAANCCAACCUUUUGUCCAAAAUGAAUUUGAAAAUGGAUGAGCGCUGGACCGAAGCCUGCGGCAGUUUUGCUGUUAGGCAAUGUGGUGUGCGGGUCGGUUCGCGGGACCGUCACUCCGCUCGAAGUCCAGCAUUGAGUAUGGUUAUCACUGGAUUUGGCCCAUAGAGGGUGAGAGGCCCGUACGAGUGGAGGUUCAGACAUGUAUGACGGUUCACCAGGCCGACCUCAGAGUCGGGUUGUUUGUGAUUGCAGCCCAAAGAGGGUGGUAAACUCCAUCCAAGGCUAAAUACUGACACGAGUCCGAUAGCGAACAAGUACCGUGAGGGAAAGUUGAAAAGUACUCUGAAGAGAGAGUAAACAGUACGUGAAGCCGCAUGCAGGUAAACGGGUGGCGUCAAGCUGCGAGCCCGGAGGAUUCAACUGAUUAGGAUGUAGUGUGCGCACGCCUGGUGCGUCGAGAGACCGGAAUAAGAUGUUUGGCGGUCCACUCCUCUGCUAGGAGUGGGGCGCUAUCAGUGUGCACGCGAAAGCGUGUUUACUGAUUGGCGCUAUGCAUGCCGGGUGGGUGCCGGAACAUGCCGCUCAUCUGUUGGGUCGCCUAGUCAGUGCAUUUUCUCCGUGGUGAACACCACGACCGGUGGAACUGCCAGUCUGCUGCCGUCCAGUCGUGGCCAUCUGACCCCUUCGCUCUUGCUCCUUCCGGGGUGAUGGGUGGAUGUGUGUGGUUUGGGUGGGUACGAUCGCANAUGGAGUCCGGUGGACGCGCAGUGGUGUCUUCGGCACCCGCCGCCGUGCUAUUCGUGCACUCUUCGUCCUAAACGAUUGGUGGGGCUGACUAAGUGCUGUACUGCCUCCCCAUUGAUCGGCGGAUAGCANUGGUAAAAUGACUGUGCAGGCACNGAGUAUCACUCAUUUCAUCAUCNUNNUGAUGANGAAAUGCAUCGGC
Molecule: ribosomal RNA, 950 nt
Filed under: Ctenotaenia marmotae
Lineage: Eukaryota; Metazoa; Platyhelminthes; Cestoda; Cyclophyllidea; Anoplocephalidae
Description: eukaryotic LSU rRNA
Rfam family: Eukaryotic large subunit ribosomal RNA
Source: RNAcentral